GGAAGAAAGGAAGUGAAGGAGAGAGGGAGGGAGGAAAAAAGGAAGGGAAGAAGGAAUCCUUAUUUGACCUGUACUCCUUUAGAACCCAAAGUUAGUUCUAGUCCUCUCCGUUUCUUUGGAUACUCAUUUUCCUACACUGGGAUUUCUACCUUCCUUCUUUCCCAAACUCAAAAACACAGUAAUGAUCUUGCUUUUAAGACAUAUCAUAUCAUGUUUUUCAGUUUUGGAUGUUGCUGCCAAGGGCAGUCAGCUCAUUUGACUCUAUCUACUAUGCUGCAUUUGAGAUUUUGUCAAUGCCAUUGAAUACAAAGGUGAAAGCAAGAGCCCAUAAAUAUGGCUGCAUCAAAAAGACAUGCAUAGAAUGGUGAAAAAUUUGAGUUGCUUGAUGUUCACAUUUCUCGGCUGAGGUUGAAUGAGGCUCCAGAAACUGACCAGCAAGCCUGCAGACCAGCAGAUGGAUGGAGGAAUGACGGGGCAGAGAAAGGGAGAAGAGGAGGAACAUCUGAACGCCAAGAGGAAUAAGGCUGGGGGCAGUCCGAAAGGAUUCUGUUUGCUGGGCGGCCCGACCCCAGGGGAGGAUCAUUUUCCCACUCCAUCCCCUGCUUCUGACUCCCCAUUUAUCCUGCUGAAAGUCACCUCCACCUCCACCUCCACCACUCAAUAAAACUUCGCAUUCAUCCUUCGAGUUCGUGCGUGACCCGAUUUUUCCGGGAGGCUGGACAAAAGCCCGGGAUACGGAAAGCUGUCACGCUGGCCCUCUGCCCUUGCAAAAAGGCAGAGGGUCCAUUGAGCUGAUUAACACUAAAGCCAUCUGUGGAGAGCAAAGCUGAAAGAGCUCUGUAACACUGGGGUUGCAGGAAACCACCUCUAGACUGUACCGCCGGGCUGGAGCCCAAAGCGCUCUUCCGGCCUGUAUACCUGCUAAUCUGCACGCUCCCCGUCUUUCAAGAGGUUUGAGCAGCAGGGCUACUGAACAGGCAAGCCACACUUCUGUUGCACAUCCUGUGAGGGGAAUCAGGGACCUGUCUGGUUGCAAAGGAAUUACAGACAUGAGCCACUGUGUCUGACCCAUUUAUCUUAAAUUUAAGGGGAUAACAAUGCGGGAAGCUGGAAUCUAGAGGAACCACAGUAACUUUGAUCUCUAGCUGUGAGGAAGAACAUGCCUGCUUCCCAAGUGACCAUCCUCCCAGCACCAUGAUAUCUAUGAGAUCAAGGGCUCCAGAGAUUACAGAGACAGCUUUUGGCGAGUGUCAGUGUCCAGGUUGACUGCUGGACAUUUCCUGCCAAUGUGUUCUAGGGAGAACUAGCCUCUGCCAUCCCCUGCAUGGCCAACAUAAAUGAAUAGGGUCUGCUCCAGUGAUCAAUUACUUUUCAAUUUAGCAAGGGGAGGCAGGCAGGUUUACUGGUAAGUGAAUGUGGGAGUUUUAGAUAGUAAAAUAUCAUAAAUAAAGGCAGCAGAGAGGAGUAGAAAGGGCAUGGAUGGGCUUUGGAAUUAGAUAGCCCUGAGCUUAAAUCUUGCCUUCACCAAUUACUAGCAGAGUUAUAUAUAAUUUGAUAAAAGGAGACACAAAAUUCUCAGAAUAAAAGUCCUAAAAAUUCAUUCUUCUGUUAAUUUUUAGAAUCUUGCAGCUCUUCCCCUGAAGCCCUAUUCACUGCAAUCAUUUCACUCUGUGAAGCAUUUUUGCAUUUACUGUCUACACAAACCAUUUGGCUAUCAGUAGAUGCUGUUACAUGAGCUUGAUAUAUUUAUCAUAUUUAGUAUUUUUUUCUUUUCCCAUGAUUAGAAAAUAAGCUAAGAGCAGAAAGAGGAGACUAUGUCUUACACCUCUUUGUAUCCUCUUCAGUGAAGAAACGUCCUUCACUGUUGGGACUCUAUUGGCCAUUCCUGGAUAUUUAGCAUCUCUGGACCACAACACUAAACACCAGUAAUACCUGCCAGUCAUGGUGACCAGUUCCCACCCCUCAAAUACCCUUACAAAUUUCCAAAGGUCUUCAUCAGGGUGGUACAACCUUUGGUUGAAAACCACUACAGUGUCCAAUAUAUAGUAAGUAUAUAUUUGUUCAGCACACAUGGUUGUUUUGUUAGUUGCAGUAGGAAAAUUUCUGCCUGAAAUUUAUUACUUUUUUUAAACAAAAAUGCUUAAGAAAUUGGUUCAUUUGACAUCCUUUCAAUCCUAGUUCCACCUAUUAAUUUUUGUGGGUGAAAAGGUCUUUUUGUCUAUGUUACAGGUUGCUUUCCCUGAGAUCUGAGGAGGAUAUUAGUGUGCAGGAAGUUUAUUAUGGAGUGCUUUUGGGGAUCAACACUAGUGGAAGGAAAAAAAAAGGAAGUAAGAUUAAGCGGAAGAAGUUGGACUAUAAUGCAGUUUCAACAAAAGCCUGAACUAAGCCCAAAAAUAGCUCUGAAAUGGAGGUGGCCCUUCAGAGUUGUACCAAGCUGGAACAAGGGGACCAGAUGUUACUGUUCCCUGUCAAUCAGUGAUUGGGUGUAGACUAUCUUAGAAAUAGGGCAUGAGCUGGCAUGAGGCAACUCUGUUCAGCAGAAGGCAGGUAUGUAAGAGAGCUGCAAGCUGAGGGCUCUCUGUGGGCCAUGCUCUCAGCAGCUGGUGGAGUAAGUAAGUUCAUCAGUCCUAAAGGGGUAUGUUGGAGUGUGCAUCAUCACAGCAUGCACUGCAGUAUGUAUCAGUUUAUCUGUACACAAAUGAGACCUCAAAUAGCUGUAAUUUUAAAAAGUUAAAAACUAGUUACUCUUCUACAUAAGUCAAAAGAGAGUUAGCUCCAAAUAAUAUGAGCGUUCUGUUACUAAAAAACAAACAAACAAACAAAAAUGCCAGGGGAACAGAUGUUAUGGUCUGAAUGUUUGUUCCCGUCUAUAUUCAUGUGUUGGAAUUCUAACCCCCAAGUGGUUGUAUAGGAGGUGGGGCAUUUGGAAGGUGGUUAGGUUAUAAGGAUGGAGCACUCAUGGAUGGGAUUAGUGCUCUUAUAAAAGAGACCCUGGAGAGCUAGCUAUGUAAUAGUUCCUUCUGCAGUGUGAGGUUUCAGUGAAACAUUUCUGUCUAUGAAGGAAGCAGGCCCUCACCAGAACCCACCUGUGCUGGCAAACUGAUCUUGGACAUUCUGGCCUGUUAUAAAAAUAGAGAGUAGAAUGGUAUUGUAAGAAAUAAACUUCUGUCCGGGCACGGUGGCUCACGCCUGUAAUCUCAGCACUUUGGGAGGCUGAGACGGGUGGAUCACGAGGUCAGGAGGUCAAGACCAUCCUGGCUAACACGGUGAAACCCCGUCUCUACUAAAAAUAUAAAAAAUUAGCCGGGCGUGGUGGCAGGCACCCGUGAUCCCAGCUACUCGGGAGGCUGAGGCAGGAGAAUGGUGUGAACCUGGGAGGCGGAGCUUGCAGCGAGCCGAGAUCCCAAUACUGCACUCCAGCGUGGGCGACAGCGA
Molecule: long non-coding RNA, 3435 nt
Organism: Homo sapiens (human)
Lineage: Eukaryota; Metazoa; Chordata; Mammalia; Primates; Hominidae
Source: Ensembl